UACGGAGGGUGCAAGCGUUGUCCGGUUUUAUUGGGUUUAAAGGGCGCGUAGGUGGCCCUGCAAGUCCGUGGUGAAAGCCUGCCGCUUAACGGCAGAACUGCCAUGGAUACUACAGGGCUUGAGUCCAGACGAGGUUGGCGGAAUGGAUGGUGUAGCGGUGAAAUGCAUAGAUACCAUCCAGAACCCCGAUUGCGUAGGCAGCUGACUAGGAUGGUACUGACACUGAGGCACGAAAGCGUGGGGAGCGAACAGG
RNAcentral lists this ribosomal RNA (253 nucleotides) under uncultured bacterium. RNAcentral describes it as "partial 16S ribosomal RNA". It matches the Rfam family "Bacterial small subunit ribosomal RNA", at positions 524 to 776 of the family's 1533-position model. The record is from RNAcentral.